Raphanus sativus (radish) is the source of this 1219-nucleotide long non-coding RNA. RefSeq lists it as uncharacterized. The record is from RefSeq and is a predicted model, not a curated record. Lineage: Eukaryota; Viridiplantae; Streptophyta; Magnoliopsida; Brassicales; Brassicaceae. The transcript has 3 exons.
GUUUUUAAUUUUAGUCCGCGAAACAGAAAAGAAAACCAAAAUUUUGCCACCAAAACACUUAUCCAAUUCAUUUCCCUCCUCCAGAUACAUCAAGGAAAAAAACAAGAUUACAAACCCUCUCCCGAUUCUAUUCAACCCUUGAAUCAUGAUAAACCUAAAAUCACAAAGUGACAAGAUCUACACACAGAGCUUGACUCAAAUCAACCUCUCACGAUUCAUCUGAAUAGUGACAAAUAGAGGUGGCGGAGCAGUGCCGGUGGCAAUUCGGAAGACGUCUGUCCUUCAUAAGUAGAGAAGGAGAAGAGGCUUCAAUGGACACGACUCAGAUCUACUCCAAAUUCAGAUGGCUCAUCUACCGCUACGUCUCCGGCUUCGUCACCGCGUCUCCUGCUUUUUCGCCGCGUCUCAAGCUUCGUCUCCGGCUUCGUCUUCGUCGCUGUGUCUCCGAACUAUCCCUCUCGGGUGAUGGUUUACCAAUCAUGAUUACUCUGUUGAGAUUGUUAGAGAAUGAGUCAUAAAAGCUCUCUCUGCUUCACCAGAUUUUCUGCUUAAGCAUAUCACUUAGAGAUGUGUUUUCGGAACAAUGGGAGAUUGUGUGUCGACUAGUAGUAAGAGUAUGUGUAGUAGCUGCAGCAGUGGAGAUGAGCCUGUGCCUCGACCAUAUCUUGGGAUCGGUUGUUGUGUGCCAAGAGAACGUUUACCAGAUCGUAUCAUCACCAGCGGUAAGAGCAGGAGCUCUUGCAUUUUCACUCAACAAGGACACAGUGUAUUAACCCGGACGCCAUGAUUGUGUGGGAAGCGAGUUCUUCCUUUUCUCACUCUUUCUCUCCUUUCUGUUUCUAGCUGUAUAAAGAGAGGCUUUGUGCUUGCGUUUGUAGGAUUUUAUGUCUGAGGAUGUGACCUUAUGUGUUGUAUUCGACGGUCAUGGUCCUUUCGGUCAUCUUGUUGCUUAAGUGAGAGAUAUAUUGCCUGUGAAGUUGCAGUCUUUCUUUCAUGUCCGAGAGUUGAUGCUACAGAAACAUAGUCACAAGGAACGUUCUCCCGGUCCAUUCAAGUGCAGACAAAUUUUUCCAUUUCUCUGAAGUUAGUAAAUCGAUGGCUUACCCAGACAAGAUAUUAAGACUUGGCAAAAGUUAUGUUGGUAGUAUAAGACUUGAAAACAUUCAAGUAAAAUUAUAUGUUUUGUAAAUUUAUUGAAUAUAAUUUUCAGUUCAGUUUA